Molecule: long non-coding RNA, 299 nt
Organism: Tupaia belangeri chinensis (Chinese tree shrew)
Lineage: Eukaryota; Metazoa; Chordata; Mammalia; Scandentia; Tupaiidae
Exons: 3
Source: RefSeq, a predicted model, not a curated record
UGAUGUUCUAUUAUGGCAGCCCGAGCUGACCGAGGCACCUGGCUUCAGAAAGUUGCAUGGUAACUCGCAGGGUAACAUUGCCAUCCCAGGCUGCUCUCACAGCCACAAGGAGCACCGUGAUGGGCGGCAGGAGGGGCUGACUCCCGUCUCAGUUUCCAAGACCCCAGACUCUUUGGAGUGGGGAAGCCAUGGCAGAGCACGUGUGAAAGAACAGGGGCUGGUUACCGACACACCCGGGUUUCAUCUCGAGACUGACACACCCAGAUUUAACCAUCAUCCUGCCACUUUCCUGUGUGAAG